Long non-coding RNA from Bos taurus (domestic cattle), 914 nucleotides. Lineage: Eukaryota; Metazoa; Chordata; Mammalia; Artiodactyla; Bovidae. The record is from Ensembl.
GAAAAAUUAACAAAGGAGAGAGGGAGGAAGUAGGUUAAACCUUCUUAAGAAUGCAUCGACUCUGCAGGAAAGUGGGAGAGGUAGGAAGUCACAGACAGCCCUGUUCAAUAAUUAAGAGGACUCAGAGGAAUGAAAGUAUAAGAGCUUUGGGUUCAGCCUGCUAAAAGCUUGUAAGCAUUUCCCAGAGCUGUCUCCAUUUUCAAGACUCCCACAGUUUUAAAGGAACAUUUUCUAUACUCCUCCCUCGCCCCCUCCUUUUCUCCUCUCCCCAUCUCCAACUUCUCUGAAUUAGAAGCCCAGGACACUGUGAGACAUGCCAUAAAGUGGCACAUCUUGCCAAUCCUGAUGAAUGAAAGGCUGGAAAUCCAGCUGUGUGUGAGAAAUCCAGUUGCUUUUAACAAAUUUUCCUUCUAUAAUUUAACGUGGGUCUCAGUACUCUUCCAGCGCAUUAAGCCUUGGUCUCUUUCACCACUUUCCAAGGGCUCAGAAGCAGCCAAUGCCUGCAUUUUCAACCUCCCUUAAACAACUUUGGGGAGAAAUCAGAUUAAAGAUGUAAAGAUGUCAUCACUCUCCUUGGAGAUCAUUUCAAACCUGAGGACAUUCCUUUUUAAUUUAUUAAGAUCUCAUUUUUGGUGUUUGACCCAAGAAAUGUUUGCUUAUUUUAAGGUCACAAAGAUUUUCUCCUGUUUUUCUCUUGUUUCACAUAAGAAGACGAUCUCGCUUCCCAGGCAGAGAAAAUAUAAGAACCAUGCUUGGACCACAUUACUAAAAUGGAACCAUAAACCAGAGGGCAAUGCAUUCCUUUUCUCUACCACCAGAUGCACAUAAAAGAACUAUGGCUUACAGGGAGGAUGCUUGUUAUUUUGUGUGGAAUCAUCAAGAAACAGAUGGAGGGUGAUUACAUGGCCUAUGCC